UACUGGGCGUAAAGGGCGCGUAGGCGGUUUGUUAAAGUCGAAGGUGAAAUCCUCGGGCUCAACUCGAGAAUGGCCUUCGAUACUGGCAAACUAGAGUGGCGGAGAGGAAAGCGGAACUCUUGGUGUAACGGUGGAAUGUGUAGAUAUCAAGAGGAACACCGGUGGCGAAGNCGGCUUUCUGGACGCACACUGACGCUCAGGCGCGAAAGCGUGGGUAGCAAACAGGAUUAGAUACCCUGGUAGUCCACGCCAUAAACGAUGGGUACUAGGUGUCGGGGGUAUCGACCCCUCCGGUGCCGCAGUUAACGCACUAAGUACCCCGCCUGGGGAUUAUGGUCGCAAGGCUGAAACUCAAAGGAAUUGACGGGGCCCCGCACAAGCGGUGGAGCAUGUGGUUUAAUUCGACGCAACGCGAAGAACCUUACCUGGGCUUGACAUGCUUGGGACAGCGCUGGAAACAGCGUCUCUCCUUCGGGAGCCCUUGCACAGGUGCUGCAUGGCUGUCGUCAGCUCGUGUCGUGAGAUGUUGGGUUAAGUCCCGCAACGAGCGCAACCCUCGUUACUAGUUGCCAUCAGUUCGGCUGGGCACUCUAGUGAGACUGCCGGUGAUAAACCGGAGGAAGGUGAGGAUGAUGUCAAGUCAUCAUGGCCCUUACGCCCAGGGCUACACACGUGCUACAAUGGUCGGCACAAAGGGUCGCUAAGCCGCGAGGUGGAGCUAAUCCCAAAAAGCCGGCCUCAGUUCGGAUUGGAGUCUGCAACCCGACUCCAUGAAGGCGGAAUCGCUAGUAAUCGCGGAUCAGCAUGCCGCGGUGAAUAUGUUCCCNGGGGCUUGUACACACCGCCCGUCAUAUCACCCGAGUCGGGAUACCCGAAGUCCGUGACCCAACCAUUUGGAGGGAGCGGCCGA
RNAcentral lists this ribosomal RNA (910 nucleotides) under uncultured organism. Its description in RNAcentral is "bacterial SSU rRNA". It matches the Rfam family "Bacterial small subunit ribosomal RNA", at positions 552 to 1459 of the family's 1533-position model. The record is from RNAcentral.